AAGGAGUCUAACAUAUGCGCGAGUCUUGGGGUGGCAAACCGCCAGGGCGUAAUGAAAGUGAGAGGGGAGAGGCCGCAAGGCUGCAUCCUCGACCGAUCUGGAUCCUUUUGUGAAAAAGAUUUGAGUAAGAGCAUAUAUGUUGGGACCCGAAAGAUGGUGAACUAUGCCUGAAUAGGGUGAAGCCAGAGGAAACUCUGGUGGAAGCUCGUAGCGGUACUGACGUGCAAAUCGUUCGUCAAAUUUGGGUAUAGGGGCGAAAGACUAAUCGAACCAUCUAGUAGCUGGUUCCCUC
This 292-nucleotide unclassified non-coding RNA is filed under the name uncultured fungus. Its description in RNAcentral is "partial contains 5.8S rRNA, ITS2 and 28S rRNA". It matches the Rfam family "Eukaryotic large subunit ribosomal RNA", at positions 668 to 961 of the family's 3401-position model. Lineage: Eukaryota; Fungi. The record is from RNAcentral.